RNAcentral lists this long non-coding RNA (345 nucleotides) under Aquilegia coerulea. RNAcentral describes it as "long non-coding RNA (ACOE_LNC000710)". Lineage: Eukaryota; Viridiplantae; Streptophyta; Magnoliopsida; Ranunculales; Ranunculaceae. The record is from RNAcentral.
AACAACACCUACUUUAAAAAAUAUUACAACCGCGACCCCUUCGUGGAUCUAAUAAUUAAAUAUCUUAUAAGUCUCUAAAAAUGCUGAAAAAAAUAGACUACUUAGUUCACCUCACAAUCACUCAACAGGAAAAAUAAUAAUUGAAAAACAGCUCUAGAACAUCCUGGAAAAAAUUGCGCAAAACGAGGAAAAUUCCCUGCCUGGAACUCGACUCGAGAUGGUUAUAGGCCAAUCUGAAUUCGACUUGAGAUCGGGUCCAAGUUGAACCGGUAACUUUCAGGAAAAAUUCAUGAACGCGCGACUUUCUUAAAAAUUUGAUUUUAACUCCGUUUUUCGAGCUUUUUU